CCUACGGGUGGCAGCAGUGAGGAAUAUUGGUCAAUGGGCGGACGCCUGAACCAGCCAAGUAGCGUGCGGGAUGACGGCCCUACGGGUCGUAAACCGCUUUUGUACGGGGAUAACACCCUCCACUUGUGGAGGUCUUCAGGUACCGUGCGAAUAAGGGCCGGCUAAUUCCGUUCCAGCAGCCGCGGUAAUACGGAAGGCCCGAGCGUUAUCCGGGUUCAGUGGGGUUAAAGGGAGCGUAGGCGGGCGUUCAAGUCAGCGGUAAAAUCGCGCGGCUCAACCGCGCCCCGCAGUUGAAACUGGACGUCUUGAGUUCACAACAGGCAGGCGGAAUUCGUGGUGUAGCGGUGAAAUGCAUAGAUAUCACGAGGAACCCCGAUUGCGAAGGCAGCCUGCCGGGGUGCGACUGACGCUGAGGCUCGAAGGUGCGGGUAUCAAACAGGAUUAGAUACCCCAGUAGGC
Molecule: ribosomal RNA, 459 nt
Filed under: uncultured bacterium
Lineage: Bacteria
Description: partial 16S ribosomal RNA
Rfam family: Bacterial small subunit ribosomal RNA
Source: RNAcentral